UACGAGGGGUCCUAGCGUUGUUCGGAAUCAUUGGGUUUAAAGGGUCCGUAGGCGGGUCGAUAAGUCAGCGGUGAAAGUCUGCAGCUCAACUGUAGAACUGCCAUUGAUACUGUCGUCCUUGAGUUAUUGUGAAGUGGUUGGAAUAUGUAGUGUAGCGGUGAAAUGCAUAGAUAUUACAUAGAAUACCGAUUGCGAAGGCAGAUCACUAAUAAUUUACUGACGCUGAUGGACGAAAGCGUAGGUAGCGAACAGG
This 253-nucleotide unclassified non-coding RNA is filed under the name uncultured Flavobacteriaceae bacterium. Its description in RNAcentral is "contains 16S-23S intergenic spacer region". It matches the Rfam family "Bacterial small subunit ribosomal RNA", at positions 524 to 776 of the family's 1533-position model. The record is from RNAcentral. Lineage: Bacteria; Pseudomonadati; Bacteroidota; Flavobacteriia; Flavobacteriales; Flavobacteriaceae.